GCUAGCGUGGCAGAGCUCGGCAAAUGCAAAAGGCUUAAGUCCUUUGUCCAGAGGUUCAAGUCCUCUCCCUAGCC
RNAcentral lists this transfer RNA (74 nucleotides) under Accipiter poliocephalus. Its description in RNAcentral is "tRNA-Leu". It matches the Rfam family "tRNA". From Rfam's summary of the family: Transfer RNA (tRNA) molecules are approximately 80 nucleotides in length. Their secondary structure includes four short double-helical elements and three loops (D, anti-codon, and T loops). Lineage: Eukaryota; Metazoa; Chordata; Aves; Accipitriformes; Accipitridae. RNAcentral also lists the same sequence under 2 other names. The record is from RNAcentral.